RNAcentral lists this ribosomal RNA (187 nucleotides) under Gammaproteobacteria bacterium. RNAcentral describes it as "partial 16S ribosomal RNA". It matches the Rfam family "Bacterial small subunit ribosomal RNA", at positions 1350 to 1533 of the family's 1533-position model. Lineage: Bacteria; Pseudomonadati; Pseudomonadota; Gammaproteobacteria. The record is from RNAcentral.
CAGCAUGCUGCGGUGAAUACGUUCCCGGGCCUUGUACACACCGCCCGUCACACCAUGGGAGUUGGCUGUACCAGAAGUCGCUAGUCUAACCUUCGGGAGGACGGCGCCCACGGUAUGGUCAAUGACUGGGGUGAAGUCGUAACAAGGUAGCCGUAGGGGAACCUGCGGCUGGAUCACCUCCUUUAAA